GAUGAACGCUGGCGGCGUGCCUAAUACAUGCAAGUCGAGCGAACAGAUGAGGAGCUUGCUCCACUGACGUUAGCGGCGGACGGGUGAGUAACACGUGGAUAACCUACCUAUAAGACUGGGAUAACUUCGGGAAACCGGAGCUAAUACCGGAUAAUAUAUUGAACCGCAUGGUUCAAUAGUGAAAGUCGGUUUUGCUGUCACUUAUAGAUGGAUCCGCGCCGCAUUAGCUAGUUGGUAAGGUAACGGCUUACCAAGGCGACGAUGCGUAGCCGACCUGAGAGGGUGAUCGGCCACACUGGAACUGAGACACGGUCCAGACUCCUACGGGAGGCAGCAGUAGGGAAUCUUCCGCAAUGGGCGAAAGCCUGACGGAGCAACGCCGCGUGAGUGAUGAAGGUCUUCGGAUCGUAAAACUCUGUUAGUAGGGAAGAACAAAUGUCUAAGUAACUAUGCACGUCUUGACGGUACCUGAACAGAAAGCAACGGCUAACUACGUG
Molecule: ribosomal RNA, 497 nt
Filed under: uncultured bacterium
Lineage: Bacteria
Description: partial 16S ribosomal RNA
Rfam family: Bacterial small subunit ribosomal RNA
Source: RNAcentral